RNAcentral lists this ribosomal RNA (2814 nucleotides) under Mesorhizobium sp. M6A.T.Ce.TU.002.03.1.1. RNAcentral describes it as "23S ribosomal RNA". It matches the Rfam family "Bacterial large subunit ribosomal RNA". Lineage: Bacteria; Pseudomonadati; Pseudomonadota; Alphaproteobacteria; Hyphomicrobiales; Phyllobacteriaceae. The record is from RNAcentral.
GAUCAAGUGUCUUAAGGGCAAUUGGUGGAUGCCUUGGCAUGCACAGGCGAUGAAGGACGUGAUACGCUGCGAUAAGCUACGGGGAGGUGCGAAUACCCUUUGAUCCGUAGAUUUCCGAAUGGGGAAACCCACCUAAGGUGCUUGGAAAAUCAGAGUAGCAGGGCAACCUGCUGCUGUGGUUUCCAAGUAUCGAUAAUAGGUAACUUACCCUGAAUAAAAUAGGGGUAAAGUGGCGAACGCGGGGAACUGAAACAUCUAAGUACCCGUAGGAAAGGACAUCAACCGAGACUCCGGCAGUAGUGGCGAGCGAACCCGGACCAGGCCAGUGGCGAUGAUGAGACAAGCGGAACCUUCUGGAAAGUAGGGCCAUAGUGGGUGACAGCCCCGUACGCGUAAUGCAAAUCAUCGUCCUCGAGUAAGGCGGGACACGUGAAAUCCUGUCUGAAAUUGGGGGGACCACCCUCCAAGCCUAAGUACUCGUGCAUGACCGAUAGCGAACUAGUACCGUGAGGGAAAGGUGAAAAGCACCCCGACAAGGGGAGUGAAAGAGUACCUGAAACCGAUUGCCUACAAACAGUGGGAGUCCAAGGUUCGUCCUGGGUGACCACGUACCUUUUGUAUAAUGGGUCAGCGACUUAGUGUGACGAGCAAGCUUAAACCGCUAGGUGUAGGCGCAGCGAAAGCGAGUCUGAACAGGGCGUUCAGUUCGUCGCAUUAGACCCGAAACCGAGUGAUCUAGCCAUGAGCAGGUUGAAGGUAAGGUAACACUUACUGGAGGACCGAACCCAUAACUGUUGCAAUAGUUCGGGAUGACUUGUGGCUAGGGGUGAAAGGCCAAUCAAACUCGGAAAUAGCUGGUUCUCCGCGAAAUCUAUUUAGGUAGAGCGUCGACCGAAUACCCCAGGGGGUAGAGCACUGGAUGGGCUAGGGGUCCUCACCGGAUUACCAAACCUAACCAAACUCCGAAUACCUGGGAGUACUAGUCGGCAGACACACGGCGGGUGCUAACGUCCGUCGUGAAAAGGGAAACAACCCUGACCUACAGCUAAGGUCCCCAAGUUAUGGCUAAGUGGGAAAGGAUGUGAGGAUCCCAAAACAACCAGGAUGUUGGCUUAGAAGCAGCCAUCAUUUAAAGAAAGCGUAACAGCUCACUGGUCUAAAUAAGGGUCUUUGCGCCGAAAAUGUAACGGGGCUCAAGCCAUACACCGAAGCUUAGGGUUCGUAGCAAUACGAGCGGUAGCGGAGCGUUCUGUAAGCUGAUGAAGCCAUACCCGUGAGGGGUGGUGGAGGUAUCAGAAGUGCGAAUGCUGACAUGAGUAACGUAAGGGGAGUGAGAGACUCCCCCGCCGAAAGUCCAAGGGUUCCUGCUUAAAGCUAAUCUGAGCAGGGUUAGCCGGCCCCUAAGUCGAGGCAGAAAUGCGUAGACGAUGGGAACCACGUUAAUAUUCGUGGGCCUGGAGGAAGUGACGGAUCAUUGAGGUAGUCCAAUCUUAUCGGAUUGAAAGGGCUGCUGCGUGGUUCCAGGAAAUAGCUCCUCCUUAUAGACCGUACCCGAAACCGACACUGGUGGACUGGUAGAGUAUACCAAGGCGCUUGAGAGAACUAUGCUGAAGGAACUCGGCAAAUUGCACGCGUAACUUCGGAAGAAGCGUGACCCUUUUCCACGCAAGUGGAGGAGGGUGGCACAGACCAGGGGGUAGCGACUGUUUAUCAAAAACACAGGGCUCUGCGAAGUCGCAAGACGACGUAUAGGGUCUGACGCCUGCCCGGUGCUGGAAGGUUAAGAGGAGGGGUGCAAGCUCUGAAUCGAAGCCCCAGUAAACGGCGGCCGUAACUAUAACGGUCCUAAGGUAGCGAAAUUCCUUGUCGGGUAAGUUCCGACCUGCACGAAUGGCGUAACGACUUCCCCGCUGUCUCCAGCAUAGACUCAGUGAAAUUGAAUUCCCCGUGAAGAUGCGGGGUUCCUGCGGUUAGACGGAAAGACCCCGUGCACCUUUACUAUAGCUUUACAUUGGCAUUCGUAGUGGCAUGUGUAGGAUAGGUGGUAGGCUUUGAAACCUGGGCGCCAGCUCAGGUGGAGCCACCCUUGAAAUACCACCCUUAUCACUAUGGAUGUCUAACCGCGGCCCGUUAUCCGGGUCCGGGACAAUGUAUGGUGGGUAGUUUGACUGGGGCGGUCGCCUCCUAAAGAGUAACGGAGGCGCGCGAUGGUGGGCUCAGAACGGUCGGAAAUCGUUCGCUGAGUGCAAUGGCAUAAGCCUGCCUGACUGCGAGACUGACAAGUCGAGCAGAGACGAAAGUCGGUCAUAGUGAUCCGGUGGUCCCGCGUGGAAGGGCCAUCGCUCAACGGAUAAAAGGUACGCCGGGGAUAACAGGCUGAUGACCCCCAAGAGUCCAUAUCGACGGGGUUGUUUGGCACCUCGAUGUCGACUCAUCGCAUCCUGGGGCUGGAGCAGGUCCCAAGGGUAUGGCUGUUCGCCAUUUAAAGCGGUACGUGAGUUGGGUUCAGAACGUCGUGAGACAGUUCGGUCCCUAUCUGCCGUGGGUGUAGGAAUAUUGAAAGGAUCUGUCCCUAGUACGAGAGGACCGGGAUGGACGGAUCUCUGGUGGACCUGUUGUGGCGCCAGCCGCAUAGCAGGGUAGCUAUAUCCGGACGGGAUAACCGCUGAAGGCAUCUAAGCGGGAAACCCACCUUAAAACGAGUAUUCCCUGAGAACCGUGGAAGACGACCACGUUGAUAGGCCGGGUGUGGAAGAGCGGCAACGCUUGAAGCUUACCGGUACUAAUAGUUCGAUCGGCUUGAUCGUUCUCAUU